Pelobates cultripes (western spadefoot toad) is the source of this 267-nucleotide non-coding RNA. The record is from the annotation of a GenBank genome assembly. NCBI's taxonomy places the organism in Eukaryota, Metazoa, Chordata, Amphibia, Anura, Pelobatidae.
CUUGCACGGGGAUGGCUUGGGUAUCACGGUAUACAGAGUUGCUUACUCACCACAUCAUGCGAGAAGUAGAAAUGAAUAUACAGAGUGUUCGCUCACCGUAACAGGGGAGGAGUAAGUGCCCAGUCCUAGCACAGGGAUGCUGUUGCCAUCACUCAGAGGGAUACGGUGCUGCUCCUCGUUCAGCUCCAUCCUGACACCUGAGCGUUCGGGGCAGGAGCCCAGCUGAUAUGUGGCCGGACAGGGGGCGUCGCUGUGGGAGGGGGAAAU